Molecule: small RNA, 28 nt
Filed under: Bombyx mori (domestic silkworm)
Lineage: Eukaryota; Metazoa; Arthropoda; Insecta; Lepidoptera; Bombycidae
Description: ovarian small RNA-12355
Source: RNAcentral
AUACCUCGUAUACCAAUUCGGUAAUGUG